CAGCUGCCAAAUAGUGAGCUGCCCAGUGGAGAGGCUUAUGGGGCAAGAAACUGAGAGAGGCCUCAAACCAACAGCUUGCAAGGAAGUGAACCAUACAAAUAACCAUGACAGCACUCUUGCAAACAAAUCCUCCUCCUUUAGAUGAGACCAUCGCCAAGGCUUACACCUGGAUCGCAACCCUGUGAGACACCCUGGACCACAAGACCCAGCAAUGCUGGGCCCAGAUUCCUGACCUACAGAAAAUAUGAGAUCAACUUCCUAAACGUCCGUCAUAGUCAUGUCAUCUCCAAUGUCUGGAAUAAAUUAAUGCUUCAGUUUGA
Mustela lutreola (European mink) is the source of this 320-nucleotide long non-coding RNA. RefSeq lists it as uncharacterized. Lineage: Eukaryota; Metazoa; Chordata; Mammalia; Carnivora; Mustelidae. The record is from RefSeq and is a predicted model, not a curated record. The transcript is spliced from 2 exons.